CCUACGGGAGGCAGCAGUGGGGAAUCUUGCGCAAUGGGCGAAAGCCUGACGCAGCCAUGCCGCGUGUAUGAUGAAGGCCUUAGGAUUGUAAAAUACUUUCACCGGGGACGAUAAUGACGGUACCCGGAGAAGAAGCCCCGGCUAACUUCGUGCCAGCAGCCGCGGUAAUACGAAGGGGGCUAGCGUUGCUCGGAAUUACUGGGCGUAAAGGGCGCGUAGGCGGACAGUUUAGUCAGAGGUGAAAGCCCAGGGCUCAACCUUGGAAUUGCCUUUGAUACUGACUGUCUUGAGUACGGGAGAGGUGAGUGGAACUCCGAGUGUAGAGGUGAAAUUCGUAGAUAUUCGGAAGAACACCAGUGGCGAAGGCGACUCACUGGCCCGUUACUGACGCUGAGGCGCGAAAGCGUGGGGAGCAAACAGGAUUAGAUACCCUGGUAGUCCACGCCGUAAACGAUGAGUGCUAGUUGUCGGCAUGCAUGCAUGUCGGUGACGCAGCUAACGCAUUAAGCACUCCGCCUGGGGAGUACGGUCGCAAGAUUAAAACUCAAAGGAAUUGACGG
Molecule: ribosomal RNA, 560 nt
Filed under: uncultured bacterium
Lineage: Bacteria
Description: bacterial SSU rRNA
Rfam family: Bacterial small subunit ribosomal RNA
Source: RNAcentral